RNAcentral lists this ribosomal RNA (450 nucleotides) under uncultured bacterium. Its description in RNAcentral is "partial 16S ribosomal RNA". It matches the Rfam family "Bacterial small subunit ribosomal RNA", at positions 338 to 795 of the family's 1533-position model. The record is from RNAcentral.
CCUACGGGAGGCUGCAGUAGGGAAUAUUGGACAAUGGGCGAAAGCCUGAUCCAGCCAUGCCGCGUGAUAGAUGAAGGCCCUCUGGGUUGUAAAUCUCUUUUAUCUGGGAAGAAACAAUCUUAUUCUUAAGAUCUUGACGGUACCAGAGGAAUAAGCACCGGCUAACUCCGUGCCAGCAGCCGCGGUAAUACGGAGGGUGCAAGCGUUAUUCGGAUUCACUGGUUUGAAAGCGUGCGUAGGCGGCAGUAGUGAAAGCUCCGAGCUUAACUUGGAAACUGCCAUUGAUACUGCCAGUCGUGAAUGUCGUAGAGGUAAGCGGAAUGUUGCAUGUAGCGGUGAAAUGCUUAGAUAUGGUACAGAACACCAAUUGCGAAGGCAGCUUACUAUGCGAUGAUUGACGCUGAGGCACGAAAGCGUGGGGAGCAAACAGGAUUAGAUACCCCAGUAGUC